Molecule: long non-coding RNA, 523 nt
Organism: Oncorhynchus tshawytscha (Chinook salmon)
Lineage: Eukaryota; Metazoa; Chordata; Actinopteri; Salmoniformes; Salmonidae
Source: Ensembl
CCGGUACAGAGUCAAUGUGGAGGCUAUAUACAGGGGGUGCCGGUACAGAGUCAAUGUGGAGACUAUAUACAGGGGGUACCGGUACAGAGUCAAUGUGGAGGCUAUAUACAGGGGGUACCGGUACAGAGUCAAUGUGGAGGCUAUAUACAGGGGGUACCGGUACAGAGUCAAUGUGGAGGCUAUAUACAGGGGGUACCGGUACAGAGUCAAUGUGGAGACUAUAUACAGGGGGUACCGGUACAGAGUCAAUGUGGAGGCUAUAUACAGGGGGUACCGGUACAGAGUCAAUGUGGAGGCUAUAUACAGGGGGUACCGGUACAGAGUCAAUGUGGAGACUAUAUACAGGGGGUACCGGUACAGAGUCAAUGUGGAGACUAUAUACAGGGGGUACCGGUACAGAGUCAAUGUGGAGACUAUAUACAGGGGGUACCGGUACAGAGUCAAUGUGGAGACUAUAUACAGGGUGUACCGGUACAGAGUCAAUGUGGAGGCUAUAUACAGGGUGUACCGGUACAGAGUCAAU